GAGCGUAGCGCAACAGGUAGAGCGAUGGUCUCCAAAACCAUGUGUUGAAGGUUCGAGUCCUUCCGUUC
This 68-nucleotide transfer RNA is filed under the name Megasphaera elsdenii. It matches the Rfam family "tRNA". From Rfam's summary of the family: Transfer RNA (tRNA) molecules are approximately 80 nucleotides in length. Their secondary structure includes four short double-helical elements and three loops (D, anti-codon, and T loops). The record is from RNAcentral. Lineage: Bacteria; Bacillati; Bacillota; Negativicutes; Veillonellales; Veillonellaceae.